RNAcentral lists this ribosomal RNA (492 nucleotides) under uncultured bacterium. Its description in RNAcentral is "partial 16S ribosomal RNA". It matches the Rfam family "Bacterial small subunit ribosomal RNA", at positions 29 to 507 of the family's 1533-position model. The record is from RNAcentral.
AGUGAACGCUGGCGGUAGGCCUAACACAUGCAAGUCGAACGGCAGCACAGUAAGAGCUUGCUCUUACGGGUGGCGAGUGGCGGACGGGUGAGGAAUACAUCGGAAUCUACUUUUUCGUGGGGGAUAACGUAGGGAAACUUACGCUAAUACCGCAUACGACCUACGGGUGAAAGCAGGGGAUCUUCGGACCUUGCGCGAUUGAAUGAGCCGAUGUCGGAUUAGCUAGUUGGCGGGGUAAAGGCCCACCAGGGCGACGAUCCGUAGCUGGUCUGAGAGGAUGAUCAGCCACACUGGAACUGAAACACGGUCCAGACUCCUACGGGAGGCAGCAGUGGGGAAUAUUGGACAAUGGGCGCAAGCCUGAUCCAGCCAUACCGCGUGGGUGAAGAAGGCCUUCGGGUUGUAAAGCCCUUUUGUUGGGAAAGAAAAGCAGCAGGUUAAUACCCCGCUGUUCUGACGGUACCCAAAGAAUAAGCACCGGCUAACUUCGUG